GAUGAACGCUGGCGGCGUGCUUAACACAUGCAAGUCGAACGGAAAGGCUCCUGCUUGCAGGGGUACUCGAGUGGCGAACGGGUGAGUAACACGUGGGUGAUCUGCCCUGCACUUCGGGAUAAGCCUGGGAAACUGGGUCUAAUACCGGAUAGGACCACAUUUUGGAUGGUGUGGUGGAAAGUUUUUCGGUGUGGGAUGAGCUCGCGGCCUAUCAGCUUGUUGGUGGGGUAAUGGCCUACCAAGGCGUCGACGGGUAGCCGGCCUGAGAGGGUGUACGGCCACAUUGGGACUGAGAUACGGCCCAGACUCCUACGGGAGGCAGCAGUGGGGAAUAUUGCACAAUGGGCGCAAGCCUGAUGCAGCGACGCCGCGUGGGGGAUGACGGCCUUCGGGUUGUAAACUCCUUCGCUAGGGACGAAGCGCAAGUGACGGUACCUGGAGAAGAAGCACCGGCUAACCACGUG
RNAcentral lists this ribosomal RNA (464 nucleotides) under uncultured bacterium. RNAcentral describes it as "partial 16S ribosomal RNA". It matches the Rfam family "Bacterial small subunit ribosomal RNA", at positions 28 to 507 of the family's 1533-position model. The record is from RNAcentral.